UUUAGUCUUUAACUUUGAAAACUCUAAAAUGAAGGUGGGUUUGUAUAUUGAUUUUCUAACAAAUAGUCCAUAUUAAUACAAGUUUGAAUACAUUGUAAGAACACUUCUUUAAUCCAAUAAAUGAAGUAUUGCUUUUCGGUCUCCUGCUUAGACUGAUGCCCCCGCGACCCGGCCCCGGAUAAAGCGGAAGAGGAUGAUGAAUGAAUGGACAUCGUUGCCAUGAACAAGAAAUAAUGUCCGUUACUGAAAAUAAGUCGUGGCAGGACUUUGUUGACUCCAGUCUUCAGGAGAAGAUUCAUGAGGAGAGGAUAUGGAUGGAGAAGAUGUUCAGCAGCCUGAAGACCGAGGUGGAAAGCUGGAUCAUUGAGAUGCAGCAGGAGUGGAGGCUGAGGGAGAGGACUCACAGAGACCAGGUCUACAAGCUGCUGCUUAUGGACCUUCCUCAGAGGAAGAGAGCCAUUGACCGCCUCAGAGAGAUGGACCUCCUCAACAGUCGGCUGGAUAGAGCGGAGGACAGAGAGGAGAGAUGGAAGUCCCUGAGAGAUGCCUGCCUGGUAAACAAGCUGAGGGAGGAGAAGAAAAAUGAGAAUGAGAAAAUUAUGAGCUUGAAGGCAGAGCUGGAGCAACAGAAAACAGAUGUGGACAGAAGGGAGAGAAAGGUGCAGCAAAUGGAGAGGGACAUCCUGACCAAGACAAAUGAAGUCAAUUACAAAGUAAUCUCUGUGAACCGAAAGGUGAUCGCUCUAAGGUCUAUGGCUGAGAACAUCAAAAAGGAGCAAAAAACCCUGUUGAGAAUCCAGGGCAGGCAUGAACACCAGGGACCAGGUGAAGAACUCCUGACUAGUCCACAGAACCAGGGUGUGAAAAUGCACACUUUGAGGAAACAGGAACCCUCUAAGGUUAGGAGCCCGGCAAAGAAACAGGGAACAAAUGUAAGAAUCCUGAGAGUGCGAGAGUUUCAGGGAAGUCCAAAAAAACUGGAAUCUCGGACGCAAGAUAUCCAGACCAGGAGAAAGAACUUGACAACUCAACAGAGCACCAAAAAUCAGGAUGCAAUGAAAAGUGUCAAGCAGACCACAGAUGAAGGCAGAGAGGAUCCCUUUGUGAGAGCACAUGAAGUGCCAGAGGCUGCACAGAGUGAGAGAGAGGAAAAGCCAAGAGAGCAGUCCUUCACAGAGAAAAUGGUGAAAAAGAAAGCAGAUUUCCUAAAGAAAAUGGAUGAGACGAUGAAUGAGAGAAGGCAGACGAAGAGGGAGAAUGAGCAGAGGAAGUGGAAGGAGUUACAGAAGAGACAGGAGAUGUGGCAGAGGAAGAGGGAGAGUGAACAGAGGAAGUGGGAGGAGUGGGAGAGAAAGGACAGGGAAUGGAAGGAAGAGCGAAUGACUGAGGAGCAGAAGAAGAGACGGGCAGAUAAAGAGGAAGCGGAGAGGGUUAAGGCACUGCUUCCCAAGAAAAAGAACAAAUUCAAGUCAUUUGUUUUUCAUUUAUUCUUUGUGUAAUUCAAAACCAAGUUCAGCAAACUCUAAUCUGGCUUGUAGCAGUAGAGAAAGUAUACCACUCAAUUUCCCUUUGGCCUCAGUUUAACAUCUAGCAUUUAUAAAAUGGAAUAAAGUGGAUGCAUUUUUAUUCCAAAGAAAAUGUGAAUGUGUGCUUUCUGCAAAUCGAUAUUAUUAUUGACUCUUAUACUGACAGGAAAGAAAGAGAACCCUGGUGGUAGCACCCCAACGAUGCCUGGAGAUUUGACAUGGUUCUGUCUGGGAUAUAAUGAGUGAUAGUUGGACACGUUUGUUGGUAACUCGUAGAAAAGCUAUUAUCCAUGAGGGGUGGUGGUAAACAACUUAUUUAUCAUGGCUGGAUUGACCUAAGUUACUUGGUAAAUGCCUUGUACCUAUGAAAGUUGUUUACCAUGUUGAACAGUAUGGCCCAGUGAGAGAAUGGACUGACCAGAACCAGUUUUAAAGUUUACAAAAAAGCCAGUGAAUUAGGAUACAUUGAAAAACUGUUUAACUUAAAACCUAAACAGUGAGGAUGUGUGUUCUACAUAUUCAUAUUAUGGUUAAUGAGUCUUUAACUGACAGGAAAGAAAGAGACAUGAGUAGCAGUAUAGAGGGCCAUAGCUGUUAUACACCAUGGAGAUGAAAAGGUAUUUACAGUUAACCUUGAGUGUGUGAUCUAAAUUGC
Molecule: long non-coding RNA, 2181 nt
Organism: Esox lucius (northern pike)
Lineage: Eukaryota; Metazoa; Chordata; Actinopteri; Esociformes; Esocidae
Source: Ensembl